AUUGAACGCUGGCGGCAUGCCUUACACAUGCAAGUCGAACGGCAGCGGACCUUCGGGUGCCGGCGAGUGGCGAACGGGUGAGUAAUAUAUCGGAACGUACCUUUCAGUGGGGGAUAACGUAGCGAAAGUUACGCUAAUACCGCAUAUUCUGUGAGCAGGAAAGCAGGGGAUCGCAAGACCUUGCGCUGAUUGAGCGGCCGAUAUCAGAUUAGCUAGUUGGUGAGGUAAAAGCUUACCAAGCCGACGAUCUGUAGCUGGUCUGAGAGGACGACCAGCCACACUGGGACUGAGACACGGCCCAGACUCCUACGGGAGGCAGCAGUGGGGAAUUUUGGACAAUGGGCGCAAGCCUGAUCCAGCCAUGCCGCGUGAGUGAAGAAGGCCUCGGUUGU
RNAcentral lists this ribosomal RNA (392 nucleotides) under uncultured bacterium. RNAcentral describes it as "bacterial SSU rRNA". It matches the Rfam family "Bacterial small subunit ribosomal RNA", at positions 30 to 426 of the family's 1533-position model. The record is from RNAcentral.